UGGGGAAUUUUCCGCAAUGGGCGAAAGCCUGACGGAGCAAUGCCGCGUGGAGGUGGAAGGCCUACGGGUCGUCAACUUCUUUUCUCGGAGAAGAAACAAUGACGGUAUCUGAGGAAUAAGCAUCGGCUAACUCUGUGCCAGCACGCCG
Molecule: ribosomal RNA, 148 nt
Filed under: uncultured bacterium
Lineage: Bacteria
Description: partial 16S rRNA
Rfam family: Bacterial small subunit ribosomal RNA
Source: RNAcentral